UCUAAUAUGGCAGAAUAGUGCAAUGGACUUAAGCCCCAUAUAUAAAGUGCAACUUUUUUUAGAA
This 64-nucleotide transfer RNA is filed under the name Prosopocoilus bulbosus mandibularis. RNAcentral describes it as "tRNA-Leu". It matches the Rfam family "tRNA". From Rfam's summary of the family: Transfer RNA (tRNA) molecules are approximately 80 nucleotides in length. Their secondary structure includes four short double-helical elements and three loops (D, anti-codon, and T loops). Further hydrogen bonds mediate the characteristic L-shaped molecular structure. tRNAs have two regions of fundamental functional importance: the anti-codon, which is responsible for specific mRNA codon recognition, and the 3' end, to which the tRNAs corresponding amino acid is attached (by aminoacyl-tRNA synthetases). tRNAs cope with the degeneracy of the genetic code in two manners: having more than one tRNA (with a specific anti-codon) for a particular amino acid; and 'wobble' base-pairing, i.e. permitting non-standard base-pairing at the 3rd anti-codon position. Lineage: Eukaryota; Metazoa; Arthropoda; Insecta; Coleoptera; Lucanidae. The record is from RNAcentral.